Molecule: non-coding RNA, 72 nt
Organism: Frankia sp.
Lineage: Bacteria; Bacillati; Actinomycetota; Actinomycetes; Frankiales; Frankiaceae
Source: Rfam
GGGUCUGUAGCUGAGAGGGAUCAGCGCCCGCCUGAAGAGCGGGAGAGGAAGGCUCGAUACCUUCCGGGCCCA